This 1317-nucleotide long non-coding RNA is filed under the name Pan troglodytes (chimpanzee). RNAcentral's name for it is "lincRNA". The record is from RNAcentral. Lineage: Eukaryota; Metazoa; Chordata; Mammalia; Primates; Hominidae.
AGAGUUCUAAAGAAAUAGAAGCUUGAAGUAUCAUCUCUCAAGUAUAUAGACACUACUUCAUGGUGUGGUAAUAUAUGCAUAUAGAAGCUAGUAAACACCUCCAGGAGAUGCAAAAGGAAUUAGAACUGCCACAAGGUGCAAGCAAAACCUUGAGGUAAUCAAUCUGCAUCCCAUUUUGGAUGAGAAUAUUUGCAACUUUGAAGGUUAUUUUAAGGACAGCAGCAGAAGAAUUAUGGCAGCUCUUCAUGGAAAAAAAAAAUGGCAACAAUAAAAUCAGCAACUCUUGCCAAAUAAAUGGACAUAAAAAAGAAAUCAUAGACUGCUGGCAAUGGUGGGGAAAAAGUUAUAAAAAUUGUCUCUGCACCAUCUUCCUUUUGUCCUCUAAAAUAUUCACAUUAGCAAAUGUAUAUAACAGCUGAUGAAUACUGAUAAUUUGUCUUUUUCUGUUUUUCCUCUUCUAAUCCUUCACCCAUCUGAGCCAAAGUCUAGACCUAAGGAGGCUACUAAUUCAGGGAUCGAGUAAUCUGCCAAGCAAGAGUUUAUUCAAGCACAGUUUGAAAUAAAGGUUUCAAAUGCAUAGCCUGUCGAUAUUUUGGAAGGAUUCUCAUCAUAACGAGAUAUGGGAGAACACCUGAGACGGCAGGCCAGAAGUCACUCAGUAGGAGAAACAUCCAUUAGAAGUAAUAAUGUGGGAUUGGUGAAGUAAAGACUAUAGGAAGAAAAAAGUGUCUGUGUGUAGGAAACAGAAAGGGAGAGAAAAAUACAUUGAGAUGGUAAAGUAAGGAAGUGGAAGAUCAGCAGAAUAUGCAGAUGCCAAGCCAUCCAAGAAAAUCAUCUCUUGUGAUUGUUGCGAAGUCAACUAGCUAAUGUGACUCACUGCUAGGCUGUUGGAUCUCAGACUUAUGUGGGAUAAUUUAGAAACUUGCUAGUGUCUUAAGAUCAAUUACUCACCAAUGAGAGUGGCAUUGAACUGUGAAUGUUCCUCCUAGAUUUUCCAUGAAGACUAAUGGUUUUGUCUUGUCUUGAAUUUAUUUUAAUUACAAUUUGUAUACAUCCUGUUCCACCCUGAAAUUUUUAUUUUCCAAAUGGUUUUUCAUUUAAAGAGACUAAAUAAAGGUUCUGACUGAGUUGUACUUGUGGGAACUCCAAACUCUUUUUAUAGGAAGCUAUUUUCAUCAAAUAGUGUUGAGAAUCAAGUUUCCAGUUGGAGAAAAUAACAGAGACAUGCAAAUUCAGGAUGUAGCUGUACAGCAAUGUUAGUGAAGAGAGAAAAUUUUGAGUCAUUUAGACAUUAACCAUUAAGCAUCUGGAUUUUUU